GGACUACCAGGGUAUCUAAUCCCGAUCGAUACCCGUGCCUUCGUACCUCAGCGUCAGUCUAAUAUAGUAACACGCCUUCGCCACUAAGCAUCCUCCCAAGUAUAUUAAUAUUGGUACACUACUCCUGUUAUGAUUGCUACUUCCUUUAGACUCUAGUAUAUAAAAUAUCAAAAGUACUCUUACGUAAUAACUAAAGAUUAUUAAUACAGCCUACGUACCCUUUAGACCCAUUAAUGACUAGUAACGCUUGCCUCACACGUGUUACCGCGGCUGCUGGCAC
Molecule: ribosomal RNA, 280 nt
Filed under: uncultured bacterium
Lineage: Bacteria
Description: partial 16S ribosomal RNA
Source: RNAcentral